This 650-nucleotide long non-coding RNA is filed under the name Homo sapiens (human). RNAcentral describes it as "long independently transcribed non-coding RNA 2000 (LINC02000)". Lineage: Eukaryota; Metazoa; Chordata; Mammalia; Primates; Hominidae. The record is from RNAcentral.
CAGGGACUGCCUGUGGAUCCAUGCCAAUUGCUGUGAUCAGCCAGCCCAUCCAGGAGAGAAGCUGUGACUUCCCCAAGCACACCAAGCUGUAACUCUCUGGGUCCUGUCAUUUGGGCUGAUGAGAAAGCAGCUUCCGAGGAGAGACAUGAUUCAUCCAAAGAGACGAUUCAUGUGAGAGCCAGCUUUCAGGCCAAGUAUUGAUGGGAGACAUCUGGCUGAUUGGCCAACAGCAGGUAGAGGAAGAAGGCAAGCCCAGUGAAGACAGCAUGAGGAGAGCAUCCACCUUUUGACAUUGCACACAAGCAAGGAUGACACCAUGACCAUCUUUGAAAGGGCAGAGCUGGACUUUUGCAUAACAUUAUUCAGGUUAAUGACACCUUGGUACACAUCAGUCAAUUAAAUAAUAAAUAAAAUGUAUUGACUCUUAGUCUUCAAUAACACCUCUGAGACUUGUUAAUAAUACUUGUGGAUUGAAGAUAUAUAAACAAAAUCAAUAUUUAUUGAAAAAAUGUUCAACGUUUGAGAACUUAGAUUAACCUUGUUAAUUGAUCCUAUAAAGUGUCAAAUUUUUGACUGAUUUGUUUACUUACAUGCUUGUGAAAUUCUUUGGGAUGGAUAUUGCUUCCUAAUACAAUGUUUGUAGCACACUC